Molecule: non-coding RNA, 25 nt
Filed under: Rattus norvegicus (Norway rat)
Lineage: Eukaryota; Metazoa; Chordata; Mammalia; Rodentia; Muridae
Source: RNAcentral
GAAUGGUUUACUCCGAUGCUGGCAU